RNAcentral lists this non-coding RNA (298 nucleotides) under Papilio machaon (common yellow swallowtail). Its description in RNAcentral is "Eukaryotic small subunit ribosomal RNA". It matches the Rfam family "Eukaryotic small subunit ribosomal RNA", at positions 1365 to 1610 of the family's 1831-position model. The record is from Rfam by way of RNAcentral. Lineage: Eukaryota; Metazoa; Arthropoda; Insecta; Lepidoptera; Papilionidae.
CGUGGCUUCGGUCGCGCAACUCACUGGCGACGUAUUAAAAUUCUUCUUAGAGGGACCGGCGGCUUCGAGCCGCACGAGAUUGAGCAAUAACAGGUCUGUGAUGCCCUUAGAUGUCCUGGGCCGCACGCGCGCUACACUGAAGGAAUCAGCAUGUUCUCCCUGGACAAACUUGACAUUAAUGAUUGGUCAAUCUAGUGCCAAGAUCGCUACUCAUAUGUUUUUUAACCAAGCCCGAAUGAUUUCAAUUUUAAAUCAGCGUCCUUUACAUAACAUAGCGUUUUAAUAUUACUCAGAGGAA